CUGCUCACUUUGGCAGCACAAAUACUAAAGUUGGAACAAUACAGGAAAGAUUAGCAUGGCCCCCUACCCAAGGAUGACAUGCAAAUUCAUGAAGCAUUCCAUAUAUUU
Small nuclear RNA from Acomys russatus (golden spiny mouse), 108 nucleotides. NCBI's taxonomy places the organism in Eukaryota, Metazoa, Chordata, Mammalia, Rodentia, Muridae. The record is from RefSeq and is a predicted model, not a curated record.